This 1393-nucleotide ribosomal RNA is filed under the name uncultured organism. Its description in RNAcentral is "SSU rRNA". It matches the Rfam family "Bacterial small subunit ribosomal RNA". The record is from RNAcentral.
GCUAGCUACAGGCUUAACACAUGCAAGUCGAGGGGCAGCAUGGUCUUAGCUUGCUAAGGCCGAUGGCGACCGGCGCACGGGUGAGUAACGCGUAUCCAACCUGCCUUACACUCUUGGACAGCCUUCUGAAAGGGAGAUUAAUACAAGAUGUUAUCAUGAGUAAGCAUUUUCGCAUGAUUAAAGGUUUACCGGUGUAAGAUGGGGAUGCGUUCCAUUAGAUAGUAGGCGGGGUAACGGCCCACCUAGUCUUCGAUGGAUAGGGGUUCUGAGAGGAAGGUCCCCCACAUUGGAACUGAGACACGGUCCAAACUCCUACGGGAGGCAGCAGUGAGGAAUAUUGGUCAAUGGACGAGAGUCUGAACCAGCCAAGUAGCGUGAAGGAUGAAGGUUCUAUGGAUUGUAAACUUCUUUUAUACGGGAAUAAACGGAUCCACGUGUGGAUUUUUGCAUGUACCGUAUGAAUAAGGAUCGGCUAACUCCGUGCCAGCAGCCGCGGUAAUACGGAGGAUCCGAGCGUUAUCCGGAUUUAUUGGGUUUAAAGGGAGCGUAGAUGGGUUGUUAAGUCAGUUGUGAAAGUUUGCGGCUCAACCGUAAAAUUGCAAUUGAUACUGGCAGUCUUGAGUACAGUUGAGGUAGGCGGAAUUCGUGGUGUAGCGGUGAAAUGCUUAGAUAUCACGAAGAACUCCGAUUGCGAAGGCAGCUUACUAACCUGUAACUGACAUUGAUGCUCGAAAGUGUGGGUAUCAAACAGGAUUAGAUACCCUGGUAGUCCACACGGUAAACGAUGAAUACUCGCUGUAGGCGAUAUACAGUCUGCGGUCAAGCGAAAGCAUUAAGUAUUCCACCUGGGGAGUACGCCGGCAACGGUGAAACUCAAAGGAAUUGACGGGGGCCCGCACAAGCGGAGGAACAUGUGGUUUAAUUCGAUGAUACGCGAGGAACCUUACCCGGGCUUAAAUUGCAACCGAAUAUGGCGGAAACGCUAUAGCUAGCAAUAGCGGUUGUGAAGGUGCUGCAUGGUUGUCGUCAGCUCGUGCCGUGAGGUGUCGGCUUAAGUGCCAUAACGAGCGCAACCCUUGCCGAUAGUUACUAACAGGUUAUGCUGAGGACUCUGUCGGGACUGCCAUCGUAAGAUGUGAGGAAGGUGGGGAUGACGUCAAAUCAGCACGGCCCUUACGUCCGGGGCUACACACGUGUUACAAUGGGGGGUACAGAGGGCUGCUACCACGCAAGUGGAUGCCAAUCCCAAAAACCUCUCUCAGUUCGGAUUGAAGUCUGCAACCCGACUUCAUGAAGCUGGAUUCGCUAGUAAUCGCGCAUCAGCCACGGCGCGGUGAAUACGUUCCCGGGCCUUGUACACACCGCCCGUCAAGCCAUGGGAGCCGGGGGUUCC